AGUGAACGCUGGCGGUAGGCCUAACACAUGCAAGUCGAACGGCAGCACAGUAAGAGCUUGCUCUUACGGGUGGCGAGUGGCGGACGGGUGAGGAAUACAUCGGAAUCUACUUUUUCGUGGGGGAUAACGUAGGGAAACUUACGCUAAUACCGCAUACGACCUCCGGGUGAAAGCAGGGGAUCUUCGGACCUUGCGCGAUUGAUUGAGCCGAUGUCGGAUUAGCUAGUUGGCGGGGUAAAGGCCCACCAAGGCGACGAUCCGUAGCUGGUCUGAGAGGAUGAUCAGCCACACUGGAACUGAGACACGGUCCAGACUCCUACGGGAGGCAGCAGUGGGGAAUAUUGGACAAUGGGCGCAAGCCUGAUCCAGCCAUACCGCGUGGGUGAAGAAGGCCUUCGGGUUGUAAAGCCCUUUUGUUGGGAAAGAAAAGCAGCAGGUUAAUACCCCGCUGUUCUGACGGUACCCAAAGAAUAAGCACCGGCUAACUUCGUG
This 492-nucleotide ribosomal RNA is filed under the name uncultured bacterium. Its description in RNAcentral is "partial 16S ribosomal RNA". It matches the Rfam family "Bacterial small subunit ribosomal RNA", at positions 29 to 507 of the family's 1533-position model. The record is from RNAcentral.